CUGGCUCAGGAUGAACGCUGGCGGCGUGCUUAACACAUGCAAGUCGAACGGAGUUAUCAAUGAAACCUAGUGAUUUGAUAACUUAGUGGCGGACGGGUGAGUAACGCGUGGGUAACCUGCCUUAUCCGGGGGGAUAACAGUUAGAAAUGACUGCUAAUACCGCAUAAGCGCACAGAAUCGCAUGAUUCCGUGUGAAAAAGAUUUAUCGGGAUAAGAUGGACCCGCGUCUGAUUAGCUAGUUGGCGAGGUAACGGCCCACCAAGGCGACGAUCAGUAGCCGGCCUGAGAGGGUGAACGGCCACAUUGGGACUGAGACACGGCCCAAACUCCUACGGGAGGCAGCAGUGGGGAAUAUUGCACAAUGGGGGAAACCCUGAUGCAAGCGACGCCGCGUGAGUGAAGAAGUAUUUCGGUAUGUAAAGCUCUAUCAGCAGGGAAGAAAAUGACGGUACCUGACUAAGAAGCCCCGGCUAACUACGUGCCAGCAGCAGC
This 492-nucleotide ribosomal RNA is filed under the name uncultured bacterium. Its description in RNAcentral is "bacterial SSU rRNA". It matches the Rfam family "Bacterial small subunit ribosomal RNA", at positions 19 to 518 of the family's 1533-position model. The record is from RNAcentral.